Molecule: ribosomal RNA, 406 nt
Filed under: uncultured bacterium
Lineage: Bacteria
Description: bacterial SSU rRNA
Rfam family: Bacterial small subunit ribosomal RNA
Source: RNAcentral
UGGGGAAUAUUGCACAAUGGGGGGAACCCUGAUGCAGCGACGCCGCGUGAAGGAAGAAGUAUUUCGGUAUGUAAACUUCUAUCAGCAGGGAAGAAAAAGGACGGUACCUGACUAAGAAGCCCCGGCUAACUACGUGCCAGCAGCCGCGGUAAUACGUAGGGGGCGAGCGUUAUCCGGAUUUACUGGGUGUAAAGGGGGCGCAGACGGCCAUGGCAAGCCCGGUGUGAAAGGUGCGGGCACAACCCGCAGACUGCACUGGUAACUGCCUGGCUGGAGUGCCGGAGGGGUAAGCGGAAUUCCUGGUGUAGCGGUGAAAUGCGUAGAUAUCAGGAGGAACACCGGUGGCGAAGGCGGCUUACUGGACGGCAACUGACGUUGAGGCCCGAAAGCGUGGGGAGCGAACAGG